Molecule: ribosomal RNA, 452 nt
Filed under: uncultured Porphyromonadaceae bacterium
Lineage: Bacteria; Pseudomonadati; Bacteroidota; Bacteroidia; Bacteroidales; Porphyromonadaceae
Description: partial 16S ribosomal RNA
Rfam family: Bacterial small subunit ribosomal RNA
Source: RNAcentral
ACGGAAGGCAGCAGUGAGGAAUAUUGGUCAAUGGGCGGAAGCCUGAACCAGCCAAGUCGCGUGAGGGAGAAGGUCCUACGGAUUGUAAACCUCUUUAGCCGGGGAGCAAUAAACCGCUCGUGAGCGGUGAUGAGAGUACCCGGAGAAUAAGGAUCGGCUAACUCCGUGCCAGCAGCCGCGGUGAUACGGAGGAUCCGAGCGUUAUCCGGAUUUAUUGGGUUUAAAGGGUGCGCAGGCGGUCUCUUAAGUCAGUGGUCAAAUCGUGGUGCUCAACGCCAUCCCGCCAUUGAUACUGGGAGACUUGAUUUCGGUCGAGGUAGGCGGAAUUCGUCGUGUAGCGGUGAAAUGCAUAGAUAUGACGAAGAACCCCGAUUGCGUAGGCAGCUUACCAGCCCGACAAUGACGCUCAUGCACGAAAGUGCGUGGAUCGAACAGGAUUAGAUACCCUGGUA